AAGGAAAAUCCUAGAGCGAGAUGUUACCUGAUACAAUCUUCCCACAAAAAUUUCUGUAACUGCUGGUAGUUCUGCAGACUAGUUCUACAAGUCUCGAAUUACCGUACAUUUGA
Molecule: non-coding RNA, 113 nt
Organism: Thalictrum thalictroides
Lineage: Eukaryota; Viridiplantae; Streptophyta; Magnoliopsida; Ranunculales; Ranunculaceae
Source: the annotation of a GenBank genome assembly